AACGCGAAGAACCUUACCUACCCUUGACAUGGUCGGAACCCUGCUGAAAGGUGGGGGUGCUCGAAAGAGAACCGGCGCACAGGUGCUGCAUGGCUGUCGUCAGCUUGUGUCGUGAGAUGUUGGGUUAAGUCCCGCAACGAGCGCAACCCUUGUCCUUAGUUGCUACGCAAGAGCACUCUAGGGAGACUGCCGGUGACAAACCGGAGGAAGGUGGGGAUGACGUCAAGUCCUCAUGGCCCUUAUGGGUAGGGCUUCACACGUCAUACAAUGGUCGGAACAGAGGGUUGCCAAGCCGCGAGGCGGAGCCAAUCCCAGAAAACCGAUCGUAGUCCGGAUCGCAGUCUGCAACUCGACUGCGUGAAGCUGGAAUCGCUAGUAAUCGCGGAUCAGCAUGCCGCGGUGAAUACGUUCCC
RNAcentral lists this ribosomal RNA (413 nucleotides) under uncultured bacterium. RNAcentral describes it as "bacterial SSU rRNA". It matches the Rfam family "Bacterial small subunit ribosomal RNA", at positions 958 to 1375 of the family's 1533-position model. The record is from RNAcentral.